RNAcentral lists this ribosomal RNA (1158 nucleotides) under Triticum aestivum (bread wheat). Its description in RNAcentral is "partial small subunit ribosomal RNA". Lineage: Eukaryota; Viridiplantae; Streptophyta; Magnoliopsida; Poales; Poaceae. The record is from RNAcentral.
AUGGCAGUGCAUCAGCCACACCCCGGGGUUGUCGGCGACGAACCGGAUGACAGCCCACCCAUUCACCGGGACGCCCACCGUGUUCCUCAUUGGUGGGUCGUCCAGGUUGAACUUUGCGGUGUCGGUAGCGGCAUCGAAGUUGCCGAAGCCCUCAGCGAGGAUGAAGAAGUCGUAGCCAUGGGUGUGGAUAGGGUGGUUCUCCCCGGCGAAGAUGUUGGUGCCCUGGAGCACGAUCUGCACCACGGAGCCGUACUUGAGCUUGUACACCUUGGUGCCUGGCACGGGCUGCCAGAGCGCGCGGCUCACAUUCUGCGCUGUGUAGUCGAACUGCACCGGCGGGUUGGCGGGGAAGUCGGUGGUAAAGACGCCGGUGGCGGCGGCAUCGCCCUGAUAGUGUGCCUGGAGGAUGGAGACGGUGGAGGGGAGCACGAAGGAGGCGUUGUUGAUGCUCGCCGCGAACCGUGUGUUGUUGGGGCCGCCGCAGUUCUGUCCGCUGGAGCAGUUGAAGAGGCCGACGCCGACGGUGAAGAAAAGGUCCUCGUCGACCACCGAGGGGAGGCCCACCGAGUGGAGGUUGCGCAGGCUCGUCGUGAACGUGGUCACCGUGGCCGUGUCAUUGUACGCCGGGAGGGUCGGCAUCGCAGGGCUCGCCGUGCCACCUGCGCUGUAGUCGAAGAUGGCGGUGGUGGUGGUGUUGUCGAAGGGCACACCCUGUGCGCUGGCGUAGGCGCGGGCGGCGAGGUAGUACCGGCCUGGUGGCUGGUCGAAAGUGACGAGGACGUCCGUGGUCUGGCCGGGCCCGAGCACGAUGACAGUGGCGUUGUACGGCUUAAGGUAGGAGGCGUCAGCGCCCACGACGGUCAUGGUGUGGCCGGCGAGGGAGACGAAGAGCUCGGUGUUGAGCGCCGCGUUGAUGAACCGCAGCAGGUUGGUCUCGCCGGACUUGACCGGGAACACGGCCGUGUCUUGGGAGGAGCAGCUGUAGAGGUCGCCGGGCUGGCCGUUGACGGUGAUGGCGUCGGAGAUGUUGGGAGCUGCACCGGUGCGCGUGGCGGUGCGGAUGACGUCGAUGGGGUUCAUGUCCCACCACUCACCUGCGCACAUGCAGCCAGAUUAUUAGUUACAGAAAAUGGUACUGUAGGAGUACUAUCUAUCUAG